UACAUUUCUUUUUACAGCAUAUACGCUACCAUAUAAUGCGAUAGAACGUGACGUAUGGCAAAAUGAUUUUUGCUGCGCAGCGAAAUUAAAUAAUAUUUUUUUUAAAUUAUAUAUCAAUACGGACGUUUUUUUCUUUCUGAUGAAUUACGGACACGUGAAAAAAAAAAAAAAGAACGCGUCUGACAUCCUUAUUUUGGGGUAUGACGAAGUUCCCGCUGACGUUUUUAUAUAAUUGUUUUAAUUUGAUAUAGAUAAUGAAAACGAUAGAUAAUAUUCGCUGCGUCUGUUUCAGAUAGAUGAUGUUCAUGGCUCCUUAGAUGCCAUAACGUGCACGUAUGGACUCGACUAUAUCGGCGUUAUACGGUGCCACAUAAUUUUCAAUUCGAACCAAUAAUUCGCUGGCU
Athalia rosae (coleseed sawfly) is the source of this 404-nucleotide long non-coding RNA. RefSeq lists it as uncharacterized. The transcript is spliced from 2 exons. Lineage: Eukaryota; Metazoa; Arthropoda; Insecta; Hymenoptera; Athaliidae. The record is from RefSeq and is a predicted model, not a curated record.